CCAGCUGAACAGAAUCUAUUUACUUGGCAUGACAUGCCAGGAUUUUUGUUAGCUCUCUCUCUGUGCUCCCCAACCCCAUGGCUGCCCUGUCGUCUGCUCUCUGGCACAUCAUCCUCUGGCCAUGCCCAUGAAGUCCCCCUCUCCACAUGCCUCAGAACCCUUUAAGAAGGUGGGAGCAGGCCCCCCACGUAUACCCACACCCAGAUCAAGCACCCAGCACUCAGAUCCUGCACCUAGGUUCUUGUUUCCAAUUCCAUUGGCCAAGGCUCCUUGAAGAAGUGGCCGAUUGCACGGAAGAGUCCGGAGCAUUAGCAGGCGUUCACGGUGCCAGAAAGUAAGGC
Molecule: non-coding RNA, 341 nt
Organism: Peromyscus maniculatus bairdii (prairie deer mouse)
Lineage: Eukaryota; Metazoa; Chordata; Mammalia; Rodentia; Cricetidae
Source: RefSeq, a predicted model, not a curated record